This 14197-nucleotide long non-coding RNA is filed under the name Solanum lycopersicum (tomato). Its description in RNAcentral is "long non-coding RNA (SLYC_LNC000550)". Lineage: Eukaryota; Viridiplantae; Streptophyta; Magnoliopsida; Solanales; Solanaceae. The record is from RNAcentral.
CAAAGUUCAAGAAAAAGGGAGAAAACUUCGAGCUUCAUCGAGUUUUGAGAAUUUUUGCUAAGAACUUGAUUCUUUCGAGGUAUGUAAGUUUUCAUAGUAAUGAAUUUAUUUAAACUUACACCAACCAUGAGUAUUAUUAUUGAAUACGUUCAUGAGAUUGUGUAUUUUGAGGUUCUUGAUGAGUUUCUUGAGGUUAUCUGCCUCAUUUUUUAACAAUGGAGUUUUGUUAAUUUCUUAAGGUGAGGGUCUUGCAGUUGAGGGUUAAUUUUUUUAAAUGUAAUUUGAGUGUAUUUUCAAGGAAUUAUGUUGGGUUUAUGAAUUCAAGAGAGUUUGGAAGAAAUCAAUCAAUUUUAGGUAAAUUAAGAUAAAGAAUCGAAAAGAAAAAAAUUAUCAGAUUUUCUGGGUACAUGCUAAGGAGGUGCGCCACUUAGACUAGAAGUAAUGAAUUUGUUAAGUUCAGGGAUUGGCACUCUGCGCCAGGAUGCCUGCCACUGUUCCUCUUCCAUUUGAGUUCUAAUUGAGUUUUUUUAGAUCGAGUCUUCGCUCUCUUUCUAAUUAUAACUAUCCAAAUUUUAUCAAAUCAUCGAGAGAUUCCAUAUAUCCAAAUCGUAACUCUUGAAUUCACAUUUUAAAUUAAAAUAAAAAUUAAGAGUAAAGUUUGAGAAAAUCUUUUGAGUCAUUUUUGAGAAGUCUUUUAUAACUUUUUUUAAGACUUGAGUAAACGAGUACGAGAAUAAGAAAAUCUUUUGAGUGAUUAUCUCAAAUUGAGAAAGAGUUAUGUUUUAAACAUAUAAGCAUGUUAUAUAUAUUAUUCGGAGUGGUAUUGAGCACAUAGUUGGGGAUGAAUUUAAACACUCAAAAUCCUCAUAAACCAUGUAUGUCAACUUGGGUAAAUGAUCAUACUUUGUAGAAGAUUUCUCUUAGCUUUUAAGUAUAACUUAGUGGAUCCACCAGAAAAUCAUAUACUCAAACAAGAUAUAGAACAGUUCUGGAAGCGUAGGUGAGACGUUGUAUCAUUAUAUUGUUCAUAGUGAUAGUUGUCGAUUAGAGAAUCUCUCAAAAUGGGAGUGACAUUUUCUAUAUUGCAUAUUGCCACUACAAAAGGAAUCUCAAUUACCAACAAAAAAAGUCGUUGGUAAAUUGAUUAAAUCGGUUGGCAAAUUGAGUUAUCAACCAAAUGCCAACUUAUAUUAGUCCGUUGCUAAAAAGCUCGUCGGUAAAUAUUACCAACUAUUUUAAUUUGUUAGUAAAUUUGCCAACCAAAAUCAGUUGGUAAACACCCAAAGAUGUUACAAAAUUUUGAAAUAUGGCCCUGAAAUUUUCGUUGGUAAAUUUUUCAAUUAAUUUUUUGUUAGUAUAUCGUUAGUACCUUUACUAACGAAUUGAAAAAGAGUUAGUAAUUUAUUUUUUUUUCGAUUCAUACAUUGGUAAUUGGUUGAUAAUUUUAGUAACAAAAAAUUUGUGUUGGUAAUUUGCCAAUAAAUUUUAAAUACUUUUUUAGUUUUUUAUUUUGAGUUUCUAUCCGGUGUUCGGUACCCACAUUAGAGCCCUACUAAAUCUGGAUUCACCCCGGAAAGUCCCACAUUGAUUGGUAAAACACUCCCUAACAAAGAUGAUUAUGUGCCCAACGGAAAUCGAACCUAAGACCUCUUGGUUAAAGAUGCAAAAAUACUUACCAAUACACCACAAGCCUUCUUUGUAAUAAAUUUAAAAUACUUUAGUAUGAUUUUUUAUUUUUCUAAUAAAUUUACUAAUUGAUUGUUAGUUUAUUGGUAAUAUGUCAUUCAAGUUCAAUGUUAGUUUAGUAAUUGAUUGACAAUAUGUUCAGAAUAUUAUUAACUGAAUAAUUAUUCAAUUAGUAAAACAUUUAUUAAUUUAUUGCAUUUAAAAAUUUAAGAACAUGAAUAUAAAUCUAAGAAUAUUAAUCAAUUUUAUAAAUCAUAUUUGAAUAAAACAAUGCAAAAUCUAUGAUAACAAUUUAAAUUAAUCUCAAUAUGACACAUAUCAUUAUAUCAAAAAAAUUAAUUUGAGCAAGUUUACAAAAAAUAUUGACUAAGUAUAAAUUUUGGCCAAAAGUUAAAGCGCCUAACAACACAAACUGAAAAUGAAAGUCUCAAAAUCUGAAACAACCAUAUUGUUAGAUAUAAAAAUAACCUUUCAAAGCUAAUUGAACUGACAGAAUUUUCAUCAGAGCAUAUUUAUCGAAAUUCUAAGCAAAAUUAAAUUUUUGUCAAAAGUUAAAAGUGAAAUCGCCUAAUGGUACAAACUGAGUAUAAAAACCUCAAAAUCCAAACCAACCAUCCUAUAAAGCAAAAAAUGACCUUCCAUAGCUAACCACGCUGACGAAAUUCAAAUUUGAGCAUGUUCCCAAAUUUUUUUUGAUCUAAUUCAAAGUUUAGCCAAAAGUUAAAAGUUAAAAACGCUUAACUAUACAAACUGAAAAUAAGUCUCAAAUCCUGAACCAACCAUCCUAUGAGAUCAAAAUUAAACUUAUAUGGCUAACUGCAAUGAGAAAAUCUCAAUUCGAGCACGAUUACCAAAAAUUUUGACUAAAGUGAAAUUUUGGCCAAAACUUAAAAUCUAAAAUGUCUACUGACAUAAACUAAAACGGAAACUUCAAAAUCCAAACCCUCUAUAUUACUACAUCAAAAUGAUUUUUCACAUCUAACUGUCUUAUCUGGGUACGUUAUCAAAUAUAUUGACCAAAGUUAAAUUUUUGCUAAAAUUUAUAUGCUAAACAAUAACGACACACAGUAAAAAUGAAAGCCUUAAAACUCAAACAAACCAUCCUACUAGAUAAAAAAUGACCUUUGGAGUUAUUACACUAACGAAAUACUCAUCUGAGCAUGUUCACAAAAAUAUUGACCAAAGUCAAAUUUUGUCCUAAGCAUAAAAUUUAAAACACAUAACGGUACAAACAAAAAUGAAAGCCUAAAAAUAUGGAUCAACCUUCCCGUUAGAUAAAAAACGAUCUUUCAAAGCUAAUGACACUGACGUUUACCAAAAAUAUUCAACAAAGUCAAGUUUUGGUUAAAAGUUAAAAGUUAAAACACCUAAUGACACAAAUUAAGUAUGAAAGCGUCAACACUAGACGCUCACUUACCAAAAAAAUUAACUUCAAUUGGUACCAACUAUUAAAUAUAAGUUAGUAAUUAUUAAUUUACCAAUAAAUUUUAUCAGAGUUGGUAAUAGUUACUAUUCAACUAAAUAUUCAUAUGUAGUAUUACCAAUUAACGAUUAAUAUUUUGAUAAAUUUUAUCAAUGAAUUAGUGAUCAGUUGGUAUAUUACCAACUAUUUUAAUGAUGUCAGUAAUUUACUAAUUACAAUAUUUAUUCGUCGAUAAAAUUUUCAACUAAUUUGAUAUUGGUUGACCAUUUUACCAACAAAUUACAUUUCAUUACUAAUUUACCAACACAUUUAUAUUUGGUUGGUAAAUUUAGCAACACAAUCUUUUUGUUGGUAAAUGUUAGGUUAGUAAUUCAUUGGUAAUAUGUUAAUAAAUUAUAUAAAUAAUUUUUGUCAUAUUAACAAACCGAUAUAUAUUUCGUUGGUAAUAUUACCAACAAAAGGUGUGCGUUAGUAAUAUUUCUUUUGGUAAUCCAUUGAUAGAAGGUUGCUAAAUUUGAUGCCGUUUUUCCCGCCGUAUUUACCAACUAAAAUACUUAGUUAGUAAGAUUUAUGUUGGUAAUAUGUUAGACUUUCAUUUUUAAGUUUUAAAAUAUUAUUCGGUUAGAAAUAUGUUGGUAAUUUGUUAGUAGAAUACUAACCAACUUAAGUUGUUCAUAAAAUUUGUUGGCAAUUAGAGUUUUUUUGUAGUGUUGGUAUUAUUGCUUUCAUCUUAAGUUGUAUUACUAUUCUUGAGUUGAGUGAGUAUCCUUGAGUUGGGUUGAGUUGAGAUGAGAUAAGUAUGUUUCAUUUUUUAUCCGUUCAACCAUAUGUUUAUGUUUUAGAGUUCUGCUUACAUGCUCGUACAUACAAUUUACUGGCACAAUUUGGACUGCAUCUUUUCAUGAUGCCAUACAGGAAUUCAGGGUCAUCAAUAGGCGCUCCAUUGAUACCACUUGCAAUUCGUAAUUUGCUUUGGUGAGUCUCAUUACUUCCGGAGGGUUCCUAUUUACUUUCAGUCUUAUUACCAUGUCAUAAGUCUUGUCCCAACUUCCAUCAUAGUAGUAGAGGAUUCAUAGACAGUAAUGUUUUGAGGAGUCUUUUCCAUUUCCAUUGGUAAUGUUUAAGACUUGAGUUUCCUUGCAUUGACUAGUUGUUGUUUCCAGACAUUUAAGAAUUUAUAUAUUUUUAAGACAAAUGAGGAAAUAUUUAAUUUUUAGUUUAUAUAUUGCUGAGUAAGUGUUUCGUCAAGUUUUGAGUUAGUUCAAUGAUUUUCUUAGGGACCAAUAAUUAUUUUCGAAUGUCGACCAGUCCCAGGUAUAGGCUCAGUGUAACAUCUCACGACGAGAAAUAACUAGAGUAGAGUUAAAGAUAAGGAAAUACUUAUUUGGGAAAGUAUAAGGAAAACUGGAAAUUUUAGGUAAACUAAAAAGUGAGUUUUUGCCAACUUCAAACGAUCAUAACUCUUAGAUCAAGAUGACUUAGUUGAAUAUAUGGUUGGAAAGAUUGUUCCAAGAUCUUUCCAACAUCGUUGAGUUUUUGCAAUUUCGAGUUCAUAUAACGGAGUUAUGCCCUUUGAAAGUUGGGUUGUUGGAUUAAGAAAAUAUCCAAUUUUGAUAUUUUAAAGGGUAUUUUAGUCUUUUCACUAUCCUAUUAAUUUAAUAAGUUUUUAGGAAUCUAAUAUGGGUCAAAUCAAAACAUAGUCAGUUUUAGAAGUUGGGUUUUUUCACGCUAGGGCUAAGGAGAAUAGAGAAGAGAAAAAAUGAAGAAAAAGGGCAAGAUUCACCAAGAUCGUCGAAUUAACUUUUGGAUUUCGUCGAGGGUGAUUCCUAAAAAAUUAUGUGAGUCUUCCAUAAUGUUAUGUUCGUUCACCCAUGUGUCAAGCAUGUUUGAUUCAGCGUGAAAUAGUUUUAAAAAGAUUGAAUUUUGAAUGUUCUUGAAUGUUGUUCUUGAAUUGAUUUCGUUCUUGAACAUGAGUUGACAUUAAGGAGCUUUCUUGAUGAUUUAGGUGUUGUUUUUUGAACUCAUUGCAUUAGGUCCUUGUAAAUAUGAUGUGGGUACAUAAAUGUAAAGUGAAAGUGACAGAAGAAAUCAAGUUUAAACGAUUUGGGAUUAGAAAAUGAGUUAAAAAAUUCGUCAAGCGUCACAUGGACAGGGCCAGGCGCAGCGCGCCCCAUCUGCACAAAAGGUUUUAUGCCUGGAGCAUACACCCUCGACGUGGACGACACCCAACGAUCAUUGUUGUCCUUGAGUGAACCCUUGGUCUGGAUUACUUAACUCAGCGGAUGACUUAACUCAAAUAUAAAGCUGGAAACAUUCUCAUAAAAAACACUUUUAAUAAUAGUCUCAGUCAAAUGACACUUAAGUCUUGAAAACAAUAUAUGUAUAUCGAAAUUAAAGAGAGACCCAAAUUGAUUGUCUAACUAUCUAUUUGUCUAUGAAGCCUCUACUACUAAGAUGAAUGCUGGGACAAACCCAUCAACAUUCUAUAAGGAAAUACUGAAAGCAACAAAGGGUCUUCUGGAAGCAAAGAGGCCACUAACUCUGGUUACUCAAACUGGAUCAACAACGCGUAAGAUGCUAAUUCUGGUUACCUGCGUCUGCAUCAUGAAACGACACCGGGCAAUUGGCAUCAAUACAUUGAAUGUACGAUUAUGCGAGUUUGAAUGCUAAACAACAACUAUUAAGCUUGAAAAAAGUAAGAAUGAACUUAUCUUGACUUUGUUCAACAUAAGAAGUCAUAACUCAAUAUAAGGCAGUAAAACACAUGCAAUAUACAUAUAUAAAUCUUGUAAAAAAAUAUAAACAUUUAGUUCAUUAAAAAUAAUGUAAUAAUAAACUCAAUUUUACUUAUAUACGAAAGUAAUAUAAUUUCUAUUGGAGAUUCUCUAACUGACAACCAUCACUAUGAGCCCAAGCGAUGGUACAACAUCUUACCUCACGUUACAAGAGGACCGAUCUAUACCUUACUGUUGGUAUAAAACUUAAACUAAUAAGCGGAUCCACUAGUCUAUGAUAGAAAAACACUAAGGAAUCAUAUAAAAAGUAUGACCUUUUAUCUGUCCAGGCCGGCUACACGAUUAUGGAGAAUUUGGUUGAUAUGAACUCGCAUACCCAUAUCGGUGCUCAGUACUACUCCCAAAAUACUUAGCUCAUAUGUUUCUAAUACAAAUUUUUCUUUGGUUUGAGGUAAUUGCUCAAACUUAGCUUUAAAAGCUCUCUUGAAAAUCAUAGUUCUCAUUUUGUAAAACUAGCCAAAGGCUUUUUCGAAGUCUAUCUUCCUUUAUUUCUCAAAAUUUGAAAACAAUUGUACCUCUUAGAGACUACUUAGUUCCCUUAUAGAUUUUGAGAAAUGAACUUACUAUUUGCUCUUUGCGUUACUUGAAACUUAACUAUAGUGAAUACUUAGUUCCCUUAUAAUUUUUGAGAUUUAGACUCAACUCUUUACUCUUUGAUCACUUGUAGCUUGAGCCUUACAACGAAGAAAAAAAUGUUUGUUUAAUACUCUUGAAAACUUUAAGAACUCUCUUUUACUUGCUUCUCUACUUUUAGAGUUGACACUUAACUUCUUUGACUUUGAUCUUAACUUUCCUUGAAUUGGAUUAUGGAUUCAAGGACCAUGAUCUCAUGUUUAUGGAUGAUUUCAUGAUGUUCAGAUGUACUUUAGUACAUCACUUAGAAAUCGUACGAAAAGAUAGGGGAAAAAUAGGAUCCCAGGAGACCUUGGCGCCCAGGGCUUGUCAGAAGAGUUUUUCGACUUUUCUGUUCUGAUUUUCAAAUCUAAACCUCCUAAACUUUAAUGAAUUUUCCCCUAAACACUUAGGAUCACUAAUAUCCUUACUAAUAUAUAGUUUAGACUCAUAAAAUAACCUGAAAAUACGAAUCAACACCACUAAAGGUACACUACAACUCUACGAACAAGAUUUCAAUCAAUUCUUCAUCAAGAACUUCAAGAUUCAUCAUUCAAUCAAUACAAAACUUGAUGAAUUAAAUAUAUUGAUGUGUGGGUGAAUGAACCCAACACAAAAAGAUCUCAUAUAACUCGAUAGGGAUCACCCCCGACAAAUUCCACUAGCGAAACCUUCGCGUUGUUGAAGAAUUAUUGAUCUUCUUCUUCUCUUCUCUCUUCUCCCCAAGACCUAAGCGUUCUAAAAUUUUCUAAAACUUAAUUGGGAAUUGGUUUAACCCCUAUAAAACCUUAAAACAAAUUAGGAAAUACUAGGGUGAAAAGACUACUUUACCCAUACUAAAAUCCGGAUUGGACUUUCCUUAAUCCAAUAACCCAACUUCCGAUAGGCAUAUCUCCCUCAUACAAUAUCGGAAUUUCACAAACUCGGCGGCGUUGGAACUAUAUCAUCAAGGGAUUUCCAAACAUAUAGAUAACUAGACCUAACUCAUCCUGUGCUAGAAGUUAUGGUUGUUUGAUCAUGACCAAAAACCUACUUUUACAUUUAUCAAAGUUUUCAAGAUUUCUCCUAUUCUUUCCAAAAAUAACUUUUCUUAGUUUUUUUGUUUACUCCUAGAUAUUUUGGUUUAUGAUAUGUUACAAUAUUUCACCCUUGGGAACAUUUGUAUUUGAAAUGAGAUUUUUUCAAUUAAACUAAGGGUGGUAACGUCAUUUCAACACUUCACCAAUAAAAGCAAGUAAUACAUGCUUACACAUAGUCUUAUAAAGUGCUAAGAAGAGAAUUUAGUACGUUGAUCUGCAUUCUCUACGGAUUCAAAGAGAUGUGGAUAUCUCCUCUUCAUAUCUACCUCAGCUUCCCAAGUUGCUUCUUCAACAAACUGAUUUCUCCAAAGGACUUUGAGCGAUGUCACUUCCUUAGUCCUCAACCUGCGAACUUGACAAUCCAAAAUUUGAACCUGAAUAUUUUCAUAGGAUAAUCUAUCCUUAAUCCAACAUUCUCAACUGGUACAAUCAAUGAAGGGUCACCCAAGCAUUUCAUGGAAUACCGGAUGAAUUGUCUCUAACUCUUGGGGUAGCUCUAACUUAUAUGUUACAUUGAUAACCCUCUUAGAGAUUAUGUAAGGACGAAUGUACCGGGAACUAAUAUUCACCUUCUUACCAAAUCUCAUACCCCCCUUCAUGGAUUAAAUCUUCAAAUAUACCCACUCAUCCACCUCAAACUCUAACGGUCUUCUCUUAACAUCUGUUUAGGACAUUUGACGACUCUGUGCCUUUCUCAAUCUCUCUUGAAUCAAUUUCACCUUCUCCAUAUCUUGGUUAACUAUAUCUAGUCCUAUAAUCAUGCUUCACCAACUUCAAACCACCCAAUAGCCGAUCUGCAUCUUCUCCUAUAAAGAGUCUCAGAUGGAGCCAUUUGGAUGCUCGAAUGGUAACUGUUGUUGUAAGUGAAGUCAAUGAGAUAUAUGUGAUCAUCCCAAUUCCCUUUGAAGUCGAUCAUAUAAGCUCUCAACAUAUAUUCUAAGUUAUAGAUAUUACUCUCUUCUUGCCCAUCUUUCUGAGGGUGAAAAACAGUGCUUAAAUUCAUCGUUGAACCUAAACCUUUUUGGAAAGAUUUCCAGAAUUGUGCAGUAAAUUGUGCACCUCUAUAUGAAAUAAUGGAGACCGAGACUCCAUGAAUUAUUACCACCUCUUGAAGGUACAACUUAGCAUAAUCCUCAGCCAAAUAAGUAGUCUUUAUUGGCAAUACAUGGGCUGACUUUGUCAUUCUAUCGACAAUUAUCUAAGUAGAAUCACGCUCCCUGCGAGAUCUUGGCAGGCCUAUGAUGAAUUCCAUAUUAAUCUUCUCCUACUUCCAUUCCGGAAAUUUUAUAGUCUGAGCCGAAUCUCCAAGCCUUUGGUGCUCUACUUUCACUUAUUGGCAAUUUGGGCGCUUGGCAACGAAUUGAGCAAUAUCUUUUUUCAUGCCUUCCAACCAAUAUACCUCUCUAAAAUCGCUAUACGUCUUGUUGGAACUCGGUGAAUGGAAUAUCUGGAGCUAUGAGCCUCCUCCAAGAUCCUCUCUUGGAGUCUAUCCACCUUAAGUACACACAAUCUACCUUGGUACUUUAGUACACCAUCUCCCCCUUGUUCAAAAGACAAUACCUUUUUCUUUUGAAAUUUCACCUUCAAAUCAAGCAAAAUAGGGUCUUGGUCUUGUUUCUCUUUUACCUCUGACACUAGUGAUGAUUCAGCCCCAUUAGUCACCACUAUUUCUCCUUCUGUGGAAUCCAUAACUCUGACUCCCUGACGUAUAAGUUUGUGCACAUCUUUAGCUAACACCCUCAUUUCUUCUUCAACAUGGGUGGUACUCCCCAUGAAUAACUUGAUUAAGGAAUCAGAAACCAUAUUCGCCUUACCUGGGUGGUAAACAAUACUCAUAUCAUAAUCCUUGAGUAAUUCUAACCACCUCCUUUGAGUGCACACAUAUUGGAGGCUUUUGUGAUCCAUAAUUGUGUCACACAUGAAUACAAGAAGUGACAUUAUAUAUUCAAAGAAAACACUACUGCAGCCAAUUGUAAGUCAUGAGUUGGAUAAUUCUUCUCGUGAACCUUCAACUGUCUGGAGGCAUAAGCUAUAACCUUAUCAUUCCGCAUUAAUACACAACCCAAGAAACCUCUCAAUGCAUUACAGUACACCACAAAACCUUGAGUAACCUUUAGUAAGGUCAAAACCAGAGCGGUAGUCAAUAUUUUUUUCAAUUUGUGAAAACUUUUCUCAUAAGCUUCAGACCAUUGAAACUUGGUUGUCUUCUGAGUUAGCUUGGUCAAAAGAGACGAUAUAGAGGAGAAACCUUCUACAAACCUCCUAUAAUAGCCAUCCAAACCCAAGAAACUCCUUAUAUCUAUUAGAGAUGUGGGUGUAGGUCAACUCUGAACUGUUUCCAUCUUUUGGGUAUCAACUCUAAUCCCAUAACCGGAAACAAUGUGGCCCAAGAAUUCCAAGUACUUAAGCUAAAACUCACACUUGGAAAACUUUACAUAUAGCUCCUUAUCUUUCAAAAUCUGCAGAACAAUCCUGAGGUGACUAGCGUGAUAUUUUGCAUUCCUUGAAUAAAUUAGUAUAUCAUUAAUGAAGAUAUUACAAACAAAUCUGAAUAGGGUUUCAAGACUCUGUUCAUAAAAUCCAUGAACAUUGCUGGUGCAUUUGUCAAACCAAAGGACAUAACUAAAAAAUCAUAAUGCCCAUAUCUGGUUCAAAAGUUGUCUUUGGAAUGUCACAUUCCCUAACUUUCAGUUGAUUGUAGCCUGAUCUUAGGUCAAUUUUUGAGAAGCAAGAAGCACCCUAAAGCUGGUCGAAAAGAUCAUCCAUCCUUGGAAGAGGAUAUUUAUUCUUGAUGGUCACCUGAUUCAAUUGGAGGUAGUCUAUACACAUCUUAAGGGAACCUUUAUCUAAAAGAUCUUUCAAUUGUUCUUUUAGCUCCUUUACUUUGCUGGGGACAUUCUAUAUGGCGGAAUAGAGAUAGGAUGAGUAUAUGGGAUGAUGUCUAUGCCAAAGUCUAUUUCUGUUUCAGGAGGGACUCUGGGUAGAUUAUCAAGAAAGACUUAUGGAAACUCUUUCCCUAUAGAAACUGACUGAAGGGAAGGUACCUCAUCACUUGAGUCAUUAACUCGGACUAAGUGAUAAAUACACCCCUUUGAAACUAAUUUUCUCGCCUUAAGGUACGAAAUGAAACGACCCUUAGGCACUACUGAGCUACUAGUCCACUCUAUGACUGAUUCAUUAGGAAUCUGAAACUUGAAAACUCAAAUUCUACAAUCUAUUGAUGCAUAACUGGCAUGAAGUUAGUCCAUACCUAGAAUGACAGUAAAAUCUACCGUAUCUAACUCUACUAGAUCAGCUAUGGUGUUCUUGUGAUUGAUGGAAAUUGAACAAUCAUGAUAGAAUCUUUCAGCUAAAAUAGACUCUCAAACAAGUGUAGAAACACAAAAAGUUUCACAAUGUUUUUCAGGAAGAAUCUCAAAUUGAUUUGCAACAUAAGGAGUUACAAAAGAUAAACUUGCUCCUGGGUCUAAUAAAAUAUAAACAUCAAAAGUAAAGACUUUUAUCAUACCCGUGACAACUUAUGGAGAGUUUCUUUCUUUUGGCGGCUAGUGAUUGUAUAGAUACUGUUUGCCCCUUCGCUAGUACUAGAAGUGACUCCUCUAGGUGUAGCCCUUUAUGGUGGAGCAACUGAUGAAGAUUGGGCUCUAUUGCCUGGAUUUCCACCUCCUUGCUUAUUCUUGGGACACUCUUUCAUGUAGUGUCCCUCUUGACCAUAUUUGAAACAACUCGACUGGCCAUCACGACAUUUAACAGCGUGGUUUUUACCACACCUACCCAAUGAAUGAGCCCAACUACCUCUUUGUACCACACUACCUUGGGACUGGGCUAGUCCAACCUUAAAGUUCUGCAAAUUCUGGCCAUCAUACUCACCUCUGUUUCUGGGAGGCAGGUGCACUAGUUGAUGAUGGUGCAUGCCUCUUUUGUUUAUGAAAUUGUGGUCGGCUUGAACCACUCACCUCUUGUUCCUACACUCCUUUCUAUCCCUUAGCUUCUUUUCUUCAACCUGUUGCACAUAGACCAUUAACCUUGAAAUUUUCAUGUUCCUAAGUAACAUUGCAUCCCUACAUUUUUUGUUUGAAGCACAACCCAAGACAGCAACAAACAAGCUCAUUUUGUUCCUCAUAUUCUUAACCAUCUCAGGAGCAUAGCGAAACAGUUGGGUGAAUUUUAACCAUAUUCAUGAACACUCAAGGAGUCGUGUUUCAGAGUAAGGAACUCCAGUACCUUUUCUUCCUUCAGUUCCCGGGGAAAGAAAUGCCCUAAGAAGGCUUCUUCAAAGCAAGCCUAACUUGGACGUGGUGCAUCUCUGUUUUUGUGCUCCUUCCACUAAUCAAACCAAGUCCUCGCCACAUUCUUUAGUUGAUAUGCGGCCAGUUCAACUCUCUCAGCAUCUACCAGAUGCACUACAUCGAAGAACUUCUUGAAUUCUCCCACAAAAUUUUCUGGAUCCUCGGUAGUGAUUGAACCAGAAAAACUUGGGGGAUUCAUUCUCAAGAAUUCCCAAAUUCUCAAACUUUAAGCCUCUUAUUGUCGAGCUCCUCUUUGUUUCCCAACUUAGCUGGUCACAACUUUACUCAAAAUAUGGAUAGCCUCACAAAAUUCAAUAUCAUGACUUCUCCUUGAGGUUACACAUUUGGUGCAUUAGGUACCUCUGGUUCUUCAACAUUACUUCUAGCUGGUCUGCCUUUGAAAGCUUUUUGUGGAGGCAUGAUGAUCUGAAACAGGCGCAAGCAUGAAUUGGAGGGAAACUUUUAGAGAUAAACUCUAACGCACGAAAUGAGUAUGAAAGAAGUGAGAAUUUCCUAAAUGUUGUAGCUUCCUAAUCAUAGAUAUGACGUGCUUCACAUCGAUGACUAAGACUCUAUAGACACGGCUUCAUAGACUUUCUAGGAUUCAUAAAAUUUGUGCUCUAAUACUAAGUUUGUCAUGCUCGGAGCCUGCACCUGAACGUGGGCGGCACCCAAUGACCAUUGCUGGCCUUGAGUGAACCCUUGUCCUGCUUACUUAACUCAGCGAAAGACUCAAAUAUAAAGCUGGAAACAUUGUCAUAAUAAACACUUUAAAUAAUAGUCUCAGCCAUAUGACACUUAAGUCUCAAAAACAAUAUAUGUAUAUAUGAAAUGAAAGAGAGACCCAAACUGAGUGUCUGACUAUCUAUUUGUCUAUGAAAUCUCUACUACUACUAAGAUGAAUAUUGGGACAAACCCCUCAACAUUCUGUAAGGAAAUACUAAAAGCAAUAAAGGGCCCUCCAGAAGAAAUAAGGCUCAUCACUAACUCUUGAUUCUCAAACUUGAUUAACGAGUCGCUGAAUGUUGAUCCUCGUUACCUGCAUUUGCAUCAUGAUAUGAUUCUGGCCAAUUGACAUCAGAACAUUGAAUAUAGAAGUAUACGAGGUGGAAUGCUAACAACAACUAGUAAAGUGUUUUGACACCUCCUAAUGAUUCUAACUACUCUAAAUGACUUCUAAACAUAUAUAAAUGAUCCAAAAAUAUGAAUUUCAACCUUAAAUUCAUAACUUUAAAUUCAAGGAUAGUUAAGACCUAAGUCUAGAAAGUUCUUAGAGUCUUUUCAAGAAGUAUUUUGCAAAUGCUUUUGACUUUGUUUUAAGACUUAAAGAUCAAGUUGAGUAAAGAGUAAAUAUAAGGAGAAGAAGUUCAUUUCAAGUUUCGUAAGUCUUUUACAAAUGUUUUAAUUUUGUUUUAAGACUUAAGUUUGAGUUCAGUUUAGAGUAAAGUGAAGUCUUUCCUUCAAAGAAGUAUAUGGAGACUAAGUAUUCCCAAAGAAGUAUAAACAUUCUUUUCACAUUUAAACAAGAAAGAAAUUUGAGAUUUUCAAAAGAGUCAUUUAGCUAGUUUUUUAGUAAAGAGGAAACUAUGAUUUCCGAGAGAGCUUUUUAAGCUAAGUUUGAGCAAUUAUCUCAAACCAGAGAAAAAAUUAUUUUAAAAACCUAUGAGUUAAGUAUAUUUUGGGAGUAGUAUUGAGCACUGAUAUGGGGAUGCAAAUUCAUAUUAACUCAAACCCUCAAAAACCAUGUAGUCAUCAUGGGAAGAGAAAAAAUCAUACUUUUUAGAUGAUUCCUUAGUGUUUUUAGCGUAGACUAGUGGAUCCACUUUGUGAGUUCCGGUUCUAUACCGAUGACAAGGUAUAGAAUGGUCCUUGGCAAUGUGAGGUAAAGCGUUGUACCAUCACCUAUGCUCAUAGUAAUGGUUGUCAACUAGAGAAUCUCUCACAAAAGUUAUUGUAUUUUAAUAUACAUCAGUUAUUGUAUUUUACAUACAUUCAGAGUUAUGUUGUAUUCUUUUUAUAUACACAGAGUUGACGUCAUAUAUUUAAAAAAGUCUUUUCUUUAUAUUGCAUCUACUUUAAACUACUUUAUAAUGAAAUAAGUUUAGUUCAGUGUUAAUGAGAUGAGAAGAGUCAAGUAACUGUUAUUUCAGAACCUCUAUUAAGCCUAUGUUUGUUAACAUUCAAACUCGCAUACUCAUACAUUCAAUGUACUGAUGAUGCCAGUUGGCCUACAUUGUCUUAUGAUGUAGAUGCGGGUAACCAGGAUCAAUAUCGAGCGCCUCGUUAAUCCAGGUUGAGCACUCAGAGUUUGUU